GAAAUCGACUAGGAAAAUGUAUAAGAACUGCACAUAAGUAUAGUAGAUAAUCGUAAUGGAACAUAUGAAUAAUAUAAAGCCUAAUAGAACAAUCUUCUUGUUCCAUAAAGUUCUUGAAAUACUCUAACCAAAAAAACAAGGUUUAACGGGAGUGAUGACUCCCUGAAAGGAAAGGCUAUCUCUGGGGUCGUCUGCAAAUCUUUCGAUGCAUCUGUAGUCGAUUAUUGCCUGCUGAUCGGAACAAUCUCGUCGUGAAUCGCAUCGGGAUAUUGGCAGUGUUCUUCAGCUACUUUUGCACCAUUGCAUUUUCUACAGACAUCCACUCGCAAAACUGCCUAGAUCUAUGUAAUGAUUACAAUUGGCAGGGUGAAUGCUUUACGCCAGGCUCAACAUCUCUCUCGCAAUUGGAUUCAAGUGAAAUGAAGUGCAUAAUACAACU
This 439-nucleotide long non-coding RNA is filed under the name Drosophila guanche. The record is from RNAcentral. Lineage: Eukaryota; Metazoa; Arthropoda; Insecta; Diptera; Drosophilidae.